Hippoglossus stenolepis (Pacific halibut) is the source of this 186-nucleotide small nuclear RNA. RefSeq annotates it as U2 spliceosomal RNA. The transcript has a single exon. Lineage: Eukaryota; Metazoa; Chordata; Actinopteri; Pleuronectiformes; Pleuronectidae. The record is from RefSeq and is a predicted model, not a curated record.
AUGGCUUCACCAUUUUGCUAAGAUCAAGUGUAGUAUCUGUUCUUAUCAGUUUAAUAUCUGAUGUCCUCUAUAUGAGGACUACAUAUUAAGCAGAUUUUGGCAUGAGGGCCGAAAUUUUGGAGCUUUUGUCCCUUUCUCUCUAUGUCGACCUAGCAUUGCAGUGCCGCUGGGAGCAGUGCACUCUGU